Molecule: small RNA, 985 nt
Filed under: Pan troglodytes (chimpanzee)
Lineage: Eukaryota; Metazoa; Chordata; Mammalia; Primates; Hominidae
Description: processed transcript
Source: RNAcentral
AGGACGUGCUAACCACCCUGAAGAUCCUCAUCAUCGGCGAGAGUGGGGUGGGCAAGUCCAGCCUGCUCUUGAGGUUCACAGAUGAUACGUUUGAUCCAGAACUUGCAGCAACAAUAGGUGUUGACUUUAAGGUGAAAACAAUUUCAGUGGAUGGAAAUAAGGCUAAACUUGCAAUAUGGGAUACUGCUGGUCAAGAGAGGUUUAGAACAUUAACUCCCAGCUAUUAUAGAGGUGCACAGGGUGUUAUAUUAGUUUAUGAUGUCACAAGAAGAGAUACAUUUGUUAAACUGGAUAAUUGGUUAAAUGAAUUGGAAACAUACUGUACAAGAAAUGACAUAGUAAACAUGCUAGUUGGAAAUAAAAUCGAUAAGAGGCAAGUGCAAAAACCUGUGAUGGUGUACAAUGUGCCUUUGAAGAACUUGUUGAAAAGAUCAUUCAGACCCCUGGACUGUGGGAAAGUGAGAACCAGAAUAAAGGAGUCAAACUGUCACACAGGGAAGAAGGCCAAGGAGGAGGAGCCUGUGGUGGUUAUUGCUCUGUGUUAUAAACUCUGGGAAAUUCCAUCUCUUGCAUAUUUGAUCAGAUAGUGACAUCUUUCUGUAUAUAAACUCUUUAACUGCUAUUUUAGGGACCUUGCAGUUUGCACAUAAUUGUUUUAUAUCAUAGCAGUAAAUAUUUGCAAGAAAUCCCACUCAUCGACCCCGGGUAAAAUGUUAUGGUAAGCAUGCACAGUUUGCAGUCUACAGUUUUUUUAUGUAGCACAAAAUAGGUGUACCUUUAUAAGUACAUUCAAUUUUAUGAUUUACAUUUAUCAUGUAAUUUUUUAAAAAAUCCAUCUAUCUAGGAUAUGUUGAUACAAAGUCUGCUUUUGCUAUUCUUUUUGCUUAAAUACUCCUAUCAUUUUCUGAAUUACUUGGUAUUUAGAACUCCUAGAACCACGGGGAAGAAUAGAGGUAUCAUCAAACGUGGCAAAUUUUCUUUCAGG